This 80-nucleotide microRNA precursor is filed under the name Jaculus jaculus (lesser Egyptian jerboa). RNAcentral's name for it is "miRNA (ENSJJAG00000002977.1)". The record is from RNAcentral. Lineage: Eukaryota; Metazoa; Chordata; Mammalia; Rodentia; Dipodidae.
CAGCUAAGCCAUCUCUCCAGCCCAGAAAAAUAUAUUUUUUUAAGAUGACACUUCUAGAGCUGGAGAGAUGGAUCAGCAGU